CCUCCUUUCUUCCUCCUUGUUUCCUCUUUUGCCCUUUAGUCAACUCUUACCCAGCAAUGCCGCGUGAAUGAAGAAGGUCUUCGGAUUGUAAAGUUCUUUAAUUGGGGACGAAAAAAAUGACGGUACCCAAGGAAUAAGCCCCGGCUAACUACGUGCCAGCAGCCGCGGUAAUACGUAGGGGGCAAGCGUUGUUCGGAAUGACUGGGCGUAAAGGGUGUGUAGGCGGUGUAGCAAGUUAGAAGUGAAAUACCUAGAGCUUAACUCAGGUGCUGCUUCUAAAACUGCUAUACUUGAGUGCAGUAGAGGAAAGUAGAAUUCCUAGGGUAGCGGUGGAAGGCGUAGAUAUUAGGAGGAACAUCAGUGGCGAAGGCGACUUUCUGGACUGUAACUGACGCUGAGGCACGAAAGUGUGGGGAGCAAACAGGAUUAGAUACCCUUGUAGUC
This 444-nucleotide ribosomal RNA is filed under the name uncultured bacterium. RNAcentral's name for it is "partial 16S ribosomal RNA". It matches the Rfam family "Bacterial small subunit ribosomal RNA", at positions 377 to 795 of the family's 1533-position model. The record is from RNAcentral.